UCAUUUAAAUAAUAAUAAGAUAUUUUAUUAAUAAACAUUCAUUGAAGUUUUCUUUUUAAAAAUAUACAGUCCCCUCUUUACUUUGAUGCAACCACCUGCAU
Molecule: non-coding RNA, 101 nt
Filed under: Thalassiothrix antarctica
Lineage: Eukaryota; Bacillariophyta; Fragilariophyceae; Thalassionematales; Thalassionemataceae
Source: RNAcentral